Molecule: ribosomal RNA, 517 nt
Filed under: Bacillus subtilis
Lineage: Bacteria; Bacillati; Bacillota; Bacilli; Caryophanales; Bacillaceae
Description: bacterial SSU rRNA
Rfam family: Bacterial small subunit ribosomal RNA
Source: RNAcentral
GGCAGCAGUAGGGAAUCUUCCGCAAUGGACGAAAGUCUGACGGAGCAACGCCGCGUGAGUGAUGAAGGUUUUCGGAUCGUAAAGCUGUUGUUAGGGAAGAACAAGUACCGUUCGAAUAGGGCGGUACCUUGACGGUACCUAACCAGUAAGCCACGGCUAACUACGUGCCAGCAGCCGCGGUAAUACGUAGGUGGCGAGCGUUGUCCGGAAUUAUUGGGCGUAAAGGGCUCGCAGGCGGUUUCUUAAGUCUGAUGUGAAAGCCCCCGGUCUCAACCGGGGAGGGUCAUUGGAAACUGGGGAACUUGAGUGCAGAAGAGGAGAGUGGAAUUCCACGUGUAGCGGUGAAAUGCGUAGAGAUGUGGAGGAACACCAGUGGGGAAGGCGACUCUCUGGUCUGUAACUGACGCUGAGGAGCGAAAGCGUGGGGAGCGAACAGGAUUAGAUACCCUGGUAGUCCACGCCGUAAACGAUGAGUGCUAAGUGUUAGGGGGUUUCCGCCCCUUAGUGCUGCAGCUUA